GGCUCAGAUUGAACGCUGGCGGCAUGCUUUACCUUGCAAGUCGAACGGCAGCACGGACUUCGGUCUGGUGGCGAGUGGCGAACGGGUGAGUAAUACAUCGGAACGUGCCCAGUUGUGGGGGGAUAACUACUCGAAAGAGUAGCUAAUACCGCAUGAGAACUGAGGUUGAAAGCAGGGGAUCGUAAGACCUUGCGCAACUGGAGCGGCCGAUGGCAGAUUAGGUAGUUGGUGGGAUAAAAGCUUACCAAGCCGACGAUCUGUAGCUGGUCUGAGAGGACGACCAGCCACACUGGGACUGGGACACGGCCCAGACUCCUACGGGAGGCAGCAGUGGGGAAUUUUGGACAAUGGGCGAAAGCCUGAUCCAGCAAUGCCGCGUGCAGGAUGAAGGCCCUCGGGCUGUAAACUGCUUUUGUACGGAACGAAAAGCUUCUGGUUAAUACCUGGGAGUCAUGACGGUACCGUAGGAAUAAGCACCGGCUAACUACGUGCCAGCAGCCGCGGUAAUACGUAGGGUGCAAGGCGUUAAUCGGAAUUACUGGGCGUAAAGCGUGCGCAGGCGGUUUUGUAAGACAGUGGUGAAAUCCCCGGGCUCAACCUGGGAACUGCCAUUGUGACUGCAAAGGCUAGAGUGCGGCAGAGGGGGAUGGAAUUCCGCGUGUAGCAGGGAAAUGCGUAGAUAUGCGGAGGAACACCGAUGGCGAAGGCAAUCCCCUGGGCCUGCACUGACGCUCAUGCACGAAAGCGUGGGGAGCAAACAGGAUUAGAUACCCUGGUAGUCCACGCCCUAAACGAUGUCAACUGGUUGUUGGGUCUUAACUGACUCAGUAACGAAGCUAACGCGUGAAGUUGACCGCCUGGGGAGUACGGCCGCAAGGUUGAAACUCAAAGGGAUUGACGGGGACCCGCACAAGCGGUGGAUGAUGUGGUUUAAUUCGAUGCAACGCGAAAAACCUUACCCACCUUUGACAUGUACGGAACCCUUUAGAGAUAGAGGGGUGCUCGAAAGAGAGCCGUAACACAGGUGCUGCAUGGCUGUCGUCAGCUCGUGUCGUGAGAUGUUGGGUUAAGUCCCGCAACGAGCGCAACCCUUGCCAUUAGUUGCUACAUUUAGUUGAGCACUCUAAUGGGACUGCCGGCGACAAACCGGAGGAAGGUGGGGAUGACGUCAAGUCCUCAUGGCCCUUAUAGGUGGGGCUACACACGUCAUACAAUGGCUGGUACAAAGGGUUGCCAACCCGCGAGGGGGAGCUAAUCCCAUAAAGCCAGUCGUAGUCCGGAUCGCAGUCUGCAACUCGACUGCGUGAAGUCGGAAUCGCUAGUAAUCGUGGAUCAGAAUGUCACGGUGAAUACGUUCCAGGGUCUUGCACUCACCGCCCGUCA
Molecule: ribosomal RNA, 1383 nt
Filed under: uncultured bacterium
Lineage: Bacteria
Description: bacterial SSU rRNA
Rfam family: Bacterial small subunit ribosomal RNA
Source: RNAcentral